RNAcentral lists this non-coding RNA (215 nucleotides) under Pseudobacillus badius. RNAcentral describes it as "Bacillus badius T-box sequence". It matches the Rfam family "T-box leader". From Rfam's summary of the family: Uncharged tRNA acts as the effector for transcription antitermination of genes in the T-box leader family. T-boxes are found upstream of many aminoacyl-tRNA synthetase genes and some amino acid biosynthetic genes usually in Gram-positive bacteria. The anticodon of a specific tRNA base pairs to a specifier sequence within the T-box motif, and the NCCA acceptor tail of the tRNA base pairs to a conserved bulge in the T-box antiterminator hairpin. The record is from RNAcentral. Lineage: Bacteria; Bacillati; Bacillota; Bacilli; Caryophanales; Bacillaceae.
UAUUGAGCUAUGAUAGGACUUAGUAGUUCGCUAUCCCUGUUACAAGAGAGCCGGUGGCUGGUGGAAACCGGUACAAAUAGUUGAAUGAAUUACCUCCUGGAGCUUUUGCUGUGAACAUCAUCUAGUAGCAGCAAACGGAUUAACCGUUAUCUAAAAUGAGUGGAGAACUCUAAUUCUCAAGCUUGGGUGGUACCGCGCAUAAUAGCGUCCCUGCA